GAUGAACGCUGGCGGCGUGCCUAAUACAUGCAAGUCGAGCGAACAGACGAGGAGCUUGCUCCUCUGACGUUAGCGGCGGACGGGUGAGUAACACGUGGAUAACCUACCUAUAAGACUAGGAUAACUUCGGGAAACCGGAGCUAAUACCGGAUAAUAUAUUGAACCGCAUGGUUCAAUAGUGAAAGACGGUUUUGCUGUCACUUAUAGAUGGAUCCGCGCCGCAUUAGCUAGUUGGUAAGGUAACGGCUUACCAAGGCAACGAUGCGUAGCCGACCUGAGAGGGUGAUCGGCCACACUGGAACUGAGACACGGUCCAGACUCCUACGGGAGGCAGCAGUAGGGAAUCUUCCGCAAUGGGCGAAAGCCUGACGGAGCAACGCCGCGUGAGUGAUGAAGGUCUUCGGAUCGUAAAACUCUGUUAUUAGGGAAGAACAAAUGUGUAAGUAACAAUGCACGUCUUGACGGUACCUAAUCAGAAAGCCACGGCUAACUACGUG
RNAcentral lists this ribosomal RNA (497 nucleotides) under uncultured bacterium. RNAcentral's name for it is "partial 16S ribosomal RNA". It matches the Rfam family "Bacterial small subunit ribosomal RNA", at positions 28 to 507 of the family's 1533-position model. The record is from RNAcentral.